RNAcentral lists this small nuclear RNA (164 nucleotides) under Cebus imitator (Panamanian white-faced capuchin). RNAcentral describes it as "U1 spliceosomal RNA (ENSCCAG00000031341.1)". It matches the Rfam family "U1 spliceosomal RNA". From Rfam's summary of the family: U1 is a small nuclear RNA (snRNA) component of the spliceosome (involved in pre-mRNA splicing). Its 5' end forms complementary base pairs with the 5' splice junction, thus defining the 5' donor site of an intron. The record is from Rfam by way of RNAcentral. Lineage: Eukaryota; Metazoa; Chordata; Mammalia; Primates; Cebidae.
AUACUUACCUGGCAGGGGAGAUACCAUGAUCACGGAGGUGGUUUUCCCAGGGCAAGGCUUAUCCAUUGCACUCCGGCUGUGCUGACCUCUGCGAUUUCCCCAAAUGUGGGAAACUCGACUGCAUGAUUUGUGGUAGUGGGGGACUGCAUUCACACUUUCCCCUG